UACGGAGGAUGCAAGCGUUAUCCGGAAUGAUUGGGCGUAAAGCGUCCGCAGGUGGCAAUGUAAGUCUGCUGUUAAAGAGUGAGGCUCAACCUCAUAAGAGCAGUGGAAACUACAUAGCUAGAGUGCGUUCGGGGCAAAGGGAAUUCCAGGUGUAGCGGUGAAAUGCGUAGAUAUCUGGAGGAAUACCGGUGGCGAAGGCGGCAUCCUGGACCGGCAUUGACGCUGAACGGCGAAAGCUAGGGGAGCAAACGGG
This 253-nucleotide ribosomal RNA is filed under the name uncultured bacterium. RNAcentral's name for it is "partial 16S ribosomal RNA". It matches the Rfam family "Bacterial small subunit ribosomal RNA", at positions 524 to 776 of the family's 1533-position model. The record is from RNAcentral.